Cyprinus carpio carpio is the source of this 4653-nucleotide long non-coding RNA. Lineage: Eukaryota; Metazoa; Chordata; Actinopteri; Cypriniformes; Cyprinidae. The record is from Ensembl.
AAAAUGAAGACUUUGAUCCUCCACAUUUCAUUUAUUGACAACCCAGGCAAAAUGCAUUUCCUUUGCAAUGUGUUAACAGGUGAAACAACUCUCCCUGCUGAAUUUAAACUUUAUUAACUGAGCUAAGCACACACAUUUUACUGCAUAUUAAGCAUUAUUUGUGCUAUAAACUGUGCUCCUUUAUUGAUCGAGGUCAAAAUUUCUACAUCAGCUUAUUCACUACUCAUCACUCAGUACUUAAUCACAGUCAGUUCCUACCUCAGUAACAUAUAACAUUAAUUAUUGUUAUACAGAGCACACAGCAUAUAGCAAAUAGAGUAUCUAUUACUGACAUAACGUAAGUGUGCAAUAGAUUUUAAGCUCAUAUGCUUGAUCUCUGAUAGUCAUAUUGCAUCCACGAUCACCUAUUUAAUAGCCAGACUUAUCAGUUAACAUAAAUACUUACUGGUCAACAUAACAUUGAAAUCAAUAACAACUUAAUAAAUCCAUAUAGCUGUCCACCAUGACAUAAACUUUAAAACAGAGAUGCAGCUUAAAAGAGAGACUUAAACUGUGCUUCAACAAAACUGCAAUCAAGAACACAUCCAACUUUUAUUGUGAGUACUGUAGAUGUUGGAGUCACGACUUGGAAAUAAUAUGUACAUAAUGAAAGGAUAACGAAAACUAAAAUACCUGUUUGUGAUGUUAAAAUUUCUUAAAUGGGCUCUAAUACAAUAGGUUUGCCAGUGCAGUAAUAAGACUUAGGAUACAGACUUCACCUCAGUGUGUGUCUCUGCCCCCUGUGUGUACUGUGAGGACACCUCUUCCAGCUCAGCUCUCUCCUGUACAACAAUAGCAGCCAACUCCCCAGGCUGGCAGGAAAUCUGCUGAGCUUGGAAGAGUUUGGCUCGGGUUCAGAAUCAGUCAGGUCUGAGUCCCAGUCGCUAUCUCCUCCUACAGCAGAGGCCAGAACAAAGUCUGCCUUAGAACCGCUGUCCUCUGAUUCAGAAUCUUUUGAGUCAUAUAACGAAUGUCCCUCUGCAACCAGCAGGUGGCAGUCAGGAGCAGCCAGGUAAACAAAACUGUCUGUAGAGAGGAAGUCACAUUCAUCAGGGUAAGGGCAAGGUUUGGCGAAGGAAGUAGGAGGCAACGGCUCCUCCAGUGGAGGUUUGGUCAUGCUUUCCUGUGUGGUUUGGGGCAGCACUGCCACUGCCAGGUAGACAAAACUAUCUGUGGCAAUGAAUGGAUCUGCAUCACUCUUGACUAAUAGUGUUUCUUUAGCUUCAUGUUUGGAGGGGGACAGCGGUAAAGGCACAUCAGUCUGUGAUGUGUUCACAGUGUUAAGAAUCUCUAGGGUUUGAGAUCCAGUGUCCACAGGUUUCAAGCGUGCUUGUAUUUCUGUAGCUCUGGUUGUAAUCUCUUUACAAAAUGCUUGCCUUCCUAGCUCUAUGCUAUUAGCUCUCAGCCCAGGGGGAUCUUUUUGGUUGAAAGUUGUCAAUUUAUUUGCUUUUGGAAUCGAAGAGUAUGUCCCAGUCUUUCUGAUGUCGACUUUUCCCUCUUCCCCUUGACUAAGAGAUGUAAUGCUUCCAAGAUCUGACAUAGUGAUGUCCUCUCUACUGGUUUGGCUGGGAUUUGACAUGUAGACACCACUUGAAUCUGAGUCUAGUGUCAGGUUGGAAUCGGGUGACUCGCUAUGGCCGUAUUUGUUUCCCAUUUGGGCGUCAAUGAUGGUGAGAUCUAAACAGGUUGGGACCUUAUCAUGAGCGAGUUUAAGGCUCCCUGGCUGAGUCACAAUAAUAUUAUUUUGACCUUUGCAUGUGUGUAAAUUGUACUGAAAUUGUGGUUCAUCAUCAUCUUGGCUUCCCACAACCUCUCGGUCCAUUCUCUCAAUCUCCAACAUAUCUUCAGCACCCAGUUCUGAGCUUGUACCUGACGGAGCUUGUGAGCCACCAAACCCCGAUGGAGGAUGUAAAAGAGGCCAGCGCCUUAGGGAGCCAACACUUUGCAAAUCUUCAUUCCACGUCUCAUCCCAAAGCAAAUUAACCAUCUCUAACACAGCUUCCCAGUUCUCUUCCUCACAUUCAGGAGUGGUAUUUUCAUCAGUGCAUGGCUCAACGCUCUCCUGUAUGAACACAAUUUUGCUCUCUUCUUCUAAAUCUUCCUCAAUCACACUCUCAAUUCUGCAUGCUUCUGGUUUACGUUCCUCUUGCUCCCGCAAGAGCUUCCAUUCCUGUAGUGAGCAAUCCUUCAAAUCUCUUGUUAACAUAGACUUGCUGAGCUGUCCAUCCACAUUCCCUUGGUGCUCUGGGAAUGGUGAAAGACGAGGAAUGGUCUUUUUGUCAGAGACACUCCGGAUUAGCAGAGAGGGUAGUGGGGGAAGAAUCGGGAGGUUAUGAACAGCACCACCUUGUCUUACCGUCCUCCUCCUUCCAAUAAGUCGCCGGGGCCAGGUAGACUCCAUUGGUGUAGGGGAGAUGGCAGGUCUUUUUGACGUUUGGGAGCGCAGAAGGGGCGUAGUGUCUGUUUCAGCUUCAGGGGUGGUUGGUGGUGGUUCUUUCUCAGGCUCAAUGUUCGGGGGUUUAAAAGUCAGAAACAGGUUAUCUUUUGACAUGCCCCCAUUGUCCCUCAUACCUUGGCCAAUCUCUAGUUUGUCUUGGUCUCCUUGACCACUCAUCAGGGCACUUACUGAUAACUCUGACAUAGGUGGUCUCGGUGAAGAUGGUUGGAUUGGUAAAGAUUGCCUGUUGAACUGCUGAUGGUAGGGCAAUGGAGAGGGAGAGAAGAACACAGAAGGUGUAUGCGUUCCAGUGGAAAAAGGGGACCCAGAGAAGGGUGAAAUCUGAGGGGUGGUGAAGCUGUUUGGAAAGAAGGCAACUCCUGGGUUUAAGUAGGUCUUUUCCCCUAGGGAGAGUUCGAAUGUUUCUGGGAACUUUGGUGGAGCCAAAACCUUCCAGGAGUGGCGGCAGAGGUUGUCCUUCUUACUACUGUCCUGGUGAUGAUGCCGCUUGUUCAUGGAUCCACUUGGAGCAGAGUUGCAGGAUACGCUGGGGGAUGCCGACCUCACAAACCCUCUUGGUGACUUGCUCAAUUCAUCAUUUGCUAAUUUCAGAGAAUCAAAAAUGAACCUCUCAUCCAGUUUUCUGCCACUGCUGCCUAGCACAGAAGACCUUGUGUCAAACAUGUCUCCACCUGCUCCCAGGGAACCAUUACUGGAAAAGUCAGUUUCUCGACCCCUUCUUGAACCCAGAGUGCUGUGUGCCGAACUGUGGUCGAUCUGUUCAUUGAUGCACAUUGUGUCAUAAAUGGAGCGUUGAGGGAUGUACCCAUCUUCAUUGUAGCCCUCUCUGUCAUCACCUUUUUUUGAACAACAAGGGCUCUGCCGUAAGCAGCCCGGUCGACUUAAUGGCUUUCCCAUUGUGUCAGUUCUUGACGAUGGCCUCCUACACGACCUCCAAUACAAUACUCCAGAAGUCUAAAGCAUGAUGUUGCCAGAGCAUGUGUACCAGAUCUUCUUAGAAAUUAUUGGAGAUAGACAUUUUUGAUUUAAUCAAAAACUGAAAAUACUUUAUUAAACUAACUGAUCUUCUGGUGUCUGCAAGUGGUUAGAUACUCAAGAAAUGGCUUCAGUAUCUCCACUGGAAAUAAAAAUUCAAAAAUAAAACAUGCUUCCCUUAAUAGUUAAUGCAUAGUUUGACGGCAAAAUCAAGUGGGAAGGAAGCAACUUUGUGAGUCAGCGUUACAUAUCCACAUAAACAGAUUAGCUUUUCAUUCACAGACUGACAUUAAAAAAAGCUGUAUGUCUGUCUAUCCCCUCCAUUUAGCCAGAUAUAAGUAGUUCUGUUCCAAAUUUAGAGCUCCCAAUCUCCUGAGGCAGCAUCUUUACACUUCAAAAAUGCACAGUAUUAGAGCAAAAACUCACUUCUCUUCAAAUGUGACAUAAUACUUCUCCAUAGUCUCUUUGCAUUGCCCCUCUUCAUGUUGUUAAUCACUGACGUAACUAGCAAUCAAAGCACUGCAGGAUGACAGAUGGUCGGUCCAAGUCUCUUGUGUGCCGGUGGUCCAGGUGUGAAAAGUGUACAGGAAUCCAGGUAUCCAGUCUGUUUUCCAGCAUUAUCUUGCAGCACUCAGACACUUGUCCUUCGUCAUACAGAAACACAGUUGGUUUGAUAAAUAGCCUCUUAUUUCAACACCAACGGCAGCUCUUUCUCUCCCUCCUCUUCUCUUACUGCCUCACUAUCACUCUCUCAGCUCCCUCCCCUGAGUUCUGAGGCUGCUUCAGGGCUUUAGCACUUAUCAGGAGCUUAGGACUUUUUUCUGCCUCACUCAUUUCAUUUCCUUUCAGUCACUUUUAUCUCAAUUUUGUUUGACCUCUAAUAAGAUGACUUAGAUUUUUCAUCAGAUGUUAUCUGCAUUUGUCAAUAUCCUUGUCUUAUGUGUGUAAAUAAAAACCUUAUUUAAAUUAAAUGGUUAGCACAAAUUGAGCCAACAGCAUGGCUUUUAAGAAAGCAAAGUUUGACAUUGUGCAUUUUUCAAACGACGAUUCAGUCAUGCACUGCCAGAUUGUCUGUCUUUGUUGUACUUCUCUCUCCCACACACUCUCCUCUCAUUCUCGAACCCUCUCGAAUCACACCUCAUCUGCCCGGAGCACGCCCACACACUCUUUUUGAACAGGCA